Non-coding RNA from Vicia faba (fava bean), 282 nucleotides. The record is from the annotation of a GenBank genome assembly. Lineage: Eukaryota; Viridiplantae; Streptophyta; Magnoliopsida; Fabales; Fabaceae.
AUGAAAACAAAAGAAAGUAGAAGAAAUCAAAACGCAGAAAACGAAUACAGAACGAGAGGAAAGAAGCUUACCAGAACUGGAAGAUGCGAAGUAGAGAAGGAGCGGAAGAGAAUACGAUUGCGAACGAGAACAGACGGAAGAGAAGGACUGACGGCGGACGACGGCGUACGGCGGACGACGGAUGGUUUGAUUACGAUGAGACGGCGGACGAGAAGCGAACGGAGAGUGUGUUAUUGUUGGAUUGGACCGGUUGGGACUUGGCCAUGUUACUGGUUUUUCCUU